This 220-nucleotide ribosomal RNA is filed under the name uncultured bacterium. RNAcentral describes it as "partial 16S ribosomal RNA". It matches the Rfam family "Bacterial small subunit ribosomal RNA", at positions 1283 to 1500 of the family's 1533-position model. The record is from RNAcentral.
CAUUCUCAGUUCGGAUUGUAGGCUGAAACUCGCCUACAUGAAGCUGGAGUUACUAGUAAUCGCAGAUCAGAAUGCUGCGGUGAAUGCGUUCCCGGGUCUUGUACACACCGCCCGUCACACCACGGAAGUUGGGGGCGCCCGAAGCCACUUAGCUAACCCAUUUGGGAAGCGAGUGUCGAAGGUGAAAUCAAUAACUGGGGUGAAGUCGUAACAAGGUACC